Non-coding RNA from Macaca mulatta (Rhesus monkey), 2529 nucleotides. Lineage: Eukaryota; Metazoa; Chordata; Mammalia; Primates; Cercopithecidae. The record is from RefSeq and is a predicted model, not a curated record.
UUUUUUUUUUUUUGACACUUUCUUUUCUCUUGGCUUCUCUGACAAUUGGAGAUUCAAGAGUGGAUACAACCAUACCAAUGAGAAGAUGAUUCCACAGCCUGGAGAAGAGGCAAAGUCAGUCUGAACUAGUGUGGAGGCUGUGGAGAUGGGGAGGAGUGGAGUGGAUGGACCCAGGUGCUUUUUAGGAGGUAGACAGGGCCUGGUGAUGGGCCGGAUGUAAGCGGUGGAGAAAAUGGAAGAGAUGACAGUGACUCCCAGUUGAUGGCGUGCAGAACUGAGGUUUGAGGUUAUGCCAUUCACAAAACAGGCAGCACUGGAGGAGGAUCAGGCAGCGGGUGAGAAGGCAGUGGGAGAUGUAGCAGGAGAAUCACGACUCUGGCUUUCAGUAUUUUAAGUCUGAGGUUUCUUGAGACAUCCAACUUAGUCAACUAGGCAGGUGAAUAUAAGGAUAAGGGGCUCAGAAGAAAAGACACCGACUAGGAAGCUGGGUGUCAUCUGCAUGUGGAUGACAACGGAAGCCAUUCAUGUGGCUGAGAUGGCCCAGGGACAGAGUAUCCAAUCAGAAGAGAACACCUUGAGCCAGACCAUAAGGAACACCAACAUUUAAAGAUCAAGACAGGAAGGAUGAGUCAGCAAAGACGACUCAGGAGUACCAGAGAAGCCAAGAAUGUGGGGUCAGAGAAGCCAAGGGAAAAGAAAGUGUCAAAAAAAAUAGAGUGGAAAAUGCUUCUGAGAAGUAAAAAAUGUUCCCUUGCUUUAGCAAUCUGGAGAGCUGCUUCAGCAGAGUGAUGGGGGAGGAAGUCAGACUGAAGCAGGGCUGGGGAAGGAGUGGGUGGUGCAGAGAUGGAGAAUGCUGCUGCAGCCAACCCUUUCAGACAUUUGGCUUGUACAGAGAAGAGAGACAGUGUGGUGGCAGCAAGUGGAGUCGGGCUUCAGGAAGGUUUUUGUUGUUGUUUUGCUUGUUGAAGGCAUGAGAAACUUGAGCAUGGUGAGAAGGCUGUUUCUGAGAAGGCAGAGGAGAGGAUCUAGAACAUGGGUGGUGGAAGAACUGGCCUGUGAUGGCCAUGCUGCGGCCUCUGCAGACACAGGAGGGAAGGAGGAGAGGACUGGCCCAGAGGCAGUUCACGAUAUCUGGAACGACCAGGAAUGUUACAGGAGUAACCUACCCAACAGGGGCCCAUCCAGGCAGUGAGAGGAAGGGAGAAGAGAAGCUGCUGGAGCCUGGGUAGAUACAUGGAGCCUAAGGGAAUUCCAGAGAACAUGGCUCCAGACACCAGUGAACUAAGAGGCGUGCAGACCUGGGACAAUGGCCGGAGCUGGAAAUGGGACUCCCUGAAGCCAGAGGACUUCCAAGAUCAGAGAUCAUCUGGUCUUGGGCAGGAGAGGGCAAGGACACUAGAUAAUGGAUUUCCUUCUGGAAAGGGUGGCUUUCCAUGUCUCUGGAGAGAGUACAGGGGGCAUCGGAAACCCAGGUGGGAAGCAGGGACUGCCCAGAGACAGAAGACCCUGCCCUUGCAAGCUGCCACGUGGGCUGCCUUACUCCCACUCAGUGCCCUCCCCUCCAGCGGCGCCACCCUUCUCUCCUCUCACCCUGCCAGCUCCAAGUUCUCUGUGCAAGAAUCCUUCCCACUGCAGAGUCGAACCUACUCCAUUUUCCAAGCCUAAAUCAGCCGCGCCCCCCUGAGGAAGCGUUCCCUAUAUAACUCCCACACAGAGCUCACAGUUCCGAUAACAUUUAUAGUCUAAAUCACACAGUUUAGCACUCGGUUUUAAAUACUGUCUGGUAUUAUUCCCUCAUUAUUUCAUGUGAGUAUAAGUUCUGCCUCCCCAGCUGAUCAGUAGGUUUCCUUACCAGUAAAGACUGUGUCCUGUGCUUUUUUAUUUCCUUCCCAACCUCACACCCCACACUGCCUAGGACAGUGCUCAGAGAAUCCUUGGUGGGGAUGUACUGAUUGGCUGAAACAGCUCCAAUGGCUGCAGAGGGCAACCAGGCAGCACUUACUGACUAGCUGCUGAGGGAAAUGCUGGAAUGGAUGGCUGAUGAUCAGGGGUGUUAAAAAGUCAGAUCAUGCCGCUCCAGGCCCCAAACCUGCAAGAGCCCAUCUUACUCCGAGGAAAAAAUCCCCCUCCUCACCAGCUCCAGAACUCUCCCAGAGCUAGCCUCCUUCUGACCCUCUGACUUUAUCUCCUGCAACUCUGCGCUCACCACAUUCCAGCCACGCCAUCCUCCACGCCGCCUCCCACUCUCCAGGCAUGGCCCUGCCUCCCUGCCCUUGCACCUGCUGUCCCCUCUGCCCAGCUUGCCCCAACUGCAGUGCCCCCUCUCAUCUCUCCUCAGAUGUCACCUUCUCAGUGAGGUCUCUGCAGCCACCCUGCACAAGAUAACAAACUCCCCCUCUCCCAACUGACCCCCCCAUUUCCCUUCCCUGUUUUUUCUCUUUAGCAUUUACCAGACUCCAAUAUGCCAUUUCCUUUAUAAGUUUAUUUUACUGCAUCCCCAGACAAUAAACUAAAAGCUCCUGAAGGGCA